Molecule: ribosomal RNA, 253 nt
Filed under: uncultured bacterium
Lineage: Bacteria
Description: partial 16S ribosomal RNA
Rfam family: Bacterial small subunit ribosomal RNA
Source: RNAcentral
UACGUAGGGGGCGAGCGUUGUCCGGAUUUAUUGGGCGUAAAGAGCGUGUAGGCGGCCAGGUAGGUCUGCUGUGAAAACUCGAGGCUCAACCUCGAGACGUCGGCGGAAACCAUCUGGCUAGAGUCCGGAAGAGGAGAGUGGAAUUCCUGGUGUAGCGGUGAAAUGCGCAGAUAUCAGGAAGAACACCCGUGGCGAAGGCGGCUCUCUGGGACGGUACUGACGCUGAGACACGAAAGCGUGGGUAGCAAACAGG